GGUGGCGCAGAGCAGCUGGAGUGCUCGCCUCCCCGUCAAGGAGGAGACCGCGGGUUCGAGUCCCGUCGCUACCGCCA
This 77-nucleotide transfer RNA is filed under the name Rugosimonospora africana. Its description in RNAcentral is "tRNA-Asp". It matches the Rfam family "tRNA". Rfam says of the family: Transfer RNA (tRNA) molecules are approximately 80 nucleotides in length. Their secondary structure includes four short double-helical elements and three loops (D, anti-codon, and T loops). Lineage: Bacteria; Bacillati; Actinomycetota; Actinomycetes; Micromonosporales; Micromonosporaceae. The record is from RNAcentral.